UACGGAGGAUCCGAGCGUUAUCCGGAUUUAUUGGGUUUAAAGGGUGCUCAGGCGGGCCAUUAAGUCGGCGGUGAAAUUUUGCAGCUUAACUGUAACAGUGCCGUUGAUACUGCAUGGCUAGGAUUUGGUUGCUGUGGGUGGAAUGUGUGGUGUAGCGGUGAAAUGCAUAGAUAUCACGAGGAACUCCGAUUGCGCAGGCAGCUUACUAAACCAUAACUGACGCUCAAGCACGAAGGCGUGGGGAUCAAACAGGAUUA
Molecule: ribosomal RNA, 257 nt
Filed under: uncultured prokaryote
Description: partial 16S ribosomal RNA
Rfam family: Bacterial small subunit ribosomal RNA
Source: RNAcentral